RNAcentral lists this ribosomal RNA (468 nucleotides) under uncultured bacterium. RNAcentral describes it as "partial 16S ribosomal RNA". It matches the Rfam family "Bacterial small subunit ribosomal RNA", at positions 28 to 507 of the family's 1533-position model. The record is from RNAcentral.
GACGAACGCUGGCGGCGUGCUUAACACAUGCAAGUCGAACGGAAAGGCCCUGCUUUUGUGGGGUGCUCGAGUGGCGAACGGGUGAGUAACACGUGAGUAACCUGCCCUUGACUUUGGGAUAACUUCAGGAAACUGGUGCUAAUACCGGAUAGGAGCUCCUGCUGCAUGGUGGGGGUCGGAAAGUUUCGGCGGUUGGGGAUGGACUCGGGGGUUAUGAGCUUGUUGGUGGGGUAGUGGCUUACCAAGGGUUUGACGGAUAGCCGGCCUGAGAAGGGGAACGGCGACAUGAGGACUAAGGUAGGGAGCAGAGUGGAAUAGGGGGCAACGGGGGGAAAUAUUGCACAGUGGGCGGGAGCGUGUGACAGAGGCGCCGCGUGCGGAAAGACGGCCUUGGGGUUAUGAACCGCAGUAACCUAUGACGAAGCGGGUGUGACGGUACUAAGAGAAGAAGCACCGGCUAACUACGUG